RNAcentral lists this unclassified non-coding RNA (235 nucleotides) under Capnodiales sp. RNAcentral describes it as "partial contains 5.8S ribosomal RNA, internal transcribed spacer 2, and large subunit ribosomal RNA". The record is from RNAcentral. Lineage: Eukaryota; Fungi; Ascomycota; Dothideomycetes; Capnodiales.
CGCACAUUGCGCCCUUUGGCAUUCCGAGGGGCAUGCCUGUUCGAGCGUCAUUACACCACUCAAGCCUGGCUUGGUAUUGGGCGACGGGGUCACCCCCGCGCCCCAAUUUCGCCGGCUGGAACGACCCGAAUCUCAGCGUUGUGGCAUACGAAUUCGCUGGCGAGGGGGGCGGUCUGGCCGUAAAACUUCGUUUAAGGUUGACCUCGGAUCAGGUAGGGAUACCCGCUGAACUUAA